GAGCGAACGGGGAGCAGCCCGGAGUCUGAAUCAGCUUGUGUGUUAGUGGAACGGUCUGGAAAGUCCGACGGUACAGGGUGAUAGUCCCGUACACGAAAGCACACAUGCUGUGAACUCGAAGAGUAGGGCGGGACACGUGGUAUCCUGUCUGAAUAUGGGGGGACCAUCCUCCAAGGCUAAAUACUCCUGACUGACCGAUAGUGAACCAGUACCGUGAGGGAAAGGCGAAAAGAACCCCGGCGAGGGGAGUGAAAAAGAACCUGAAACCGUGUACGUACAAGCAGUGGGAGCCUCUUUAUGGGGUGACUGCGUACCUUUUGUAUAAUGGGUCAGCGACUUAUAUUCUGUAGCAAGGUUAACCGUAUAGGGGAGCCGAAGGGAAACCGAGUCUUAACUGGGCGUUAAGUUGCAGGGUAUAGACCCGAAACCCGGUGAUCUAGCCAUGGGCAGGUUGAAGGUUGGGUAACACUAACUGGAGGACCGAACCGACUAAUGUUGAAAAAUUAGCGGAUGACCUGUGGCUGGGGGUGAAAGGCCAAUCAAACCGGGAGAUAGCUGGUUCUCCCCGAAAGCU
Molecule: ribosomal RNA, 574 nt
Filed under: Enterobacter hormaechei
Lineage: Bacteria; Pseudomonadati; Pseudomonadota; Gammaproteobacteria; Enterobacterales; Enterobacteriaceae
Description: partial 23S ribosomal RNA
Rfam family: Bacterial large subunit ribosomal RNA
Source: RNAcentral